Long non-coding RNA from Pygocentrus nattereri (red-bellied piranha), 264 nucleotides. RefSeq lists it as uncharacterized. Lineage: Eukaryota; Metazoa; Chordata; Actinopteri; Characiformes; Serrasalmidae. The record is from RefSeq and is a predicted model, not a curated record. The transcript has 3 exons.
CAGUGAGAGGGAUACCACUAGCAACAAAGUGUGAUGAAAUGGGAGAAGAACAUGCAGCUGCUUAUGAUCGCACUGGAUGGCUUCGCUUCUUCUUGUUCUGCAUCUGGCUUUUGGACAUCGGGCUGAUAUUCACCAUUACAUAUUUGGAAAUAGAUUUGACUAGAAGACUUAAGAAGUUGAAAAACAAAAUGUCUCAAAUCACACAGACUCACGAGUAACACUGGAUGGAUUGGAAGAAUCAGACUCUGCCUUUAUAUCUUGGUU